Long non-coding RNA from Musca vetustissima, 386 nucleotides. RefSeq lists it as uncharacterized. The record is from RefSeq and is a predicted model, not a curated record. The transcript is spliced from 3 exons. Lineage: Eukaryota; Metazoa; Arthropoda; Insecta; Diptera; Muscidae.
GAUAUAAGAUUGUGGGUGUCCGGCUGGGGUACCAUCAAUACAGCAACUCGUGCCUUUUCCAAUAUCCUGCUAAAGGCCCCCUUGUUUGUAACACCCCUCGAGAAAUGCAAUGCCAGUUUUGUGGAUUAUGGUCUGACACGCCAGAUUCAAGAUGGUAUUAUUAGCACACAAUUGUGUGCCGAAGAUAAGGAUCAAUUGAAAGAUGCAUGUCAGGGUGAUUCAGGUGGUCCAUUGGUAUUAGUUGUGGAUGAAUCUUUAAAAAGUUAUAAAAUCGUUGGUGUGGUCUCAGCCGGUUUUGGUUGUGCCAACACCACACCUGGUCUCUAUACCAGAGUAGCUGCCUUUUUGGAUUAUAUCGAACAAAUUGUAUGGCCAAAUGGUGGUGA